Molecule: non-coding RNA, 3447 nt
Organism: Vicugna pacos (alpaca)
Lineage: Eukaryota; Metazoa; Chordata; Mammalia; Artiodactyla; Camelidae
Source: RefSeq, a predicted model, not a curated record
CACUCUGGAGCCCCUCUCAUAUCCCAUCUCUGUAUUUAUUCUGGCUCUGCCUGCCACCCCUCUUCCCUGGUGGUGAGUCAUGAAAUCCCACGAGAGGGGAGAUGGGAGCCAGGAGAGGGGAAGCUCUGCCUGGGCCUACUACUAGUCAUGCUGGUCAGACCAAUAAAAGACAUCUGUCCCACUCCGCUAAGUCUGCUUUUCUUGAGCUGACAGAUGAGAACACAGGGCCAGAGAGGCAGUGGCUGUCUACACCUCAGUUCCUCCCUCCUCCUCCCCAGGGUUGUGGUCCUGCUCCUUCUGCACUGAAGCCUUCCCCUCUUCUUUUUUCUGCCUCUGUUCCUUUUAGUAAAUCCCUCAAUUUCUGAGCCUCCAUGUAGUAUGCAGGUAAGGAAAAAAGGAGACCAGGGCAUAGCUGAAUGUAAGUGAAUAAAAUGGUGGUUCCUCAGUGGCAGUCUGCCUAAAGAUUCCCAAACAUUGUAAAAGAAAAUUAGGUACUAGACCAGCAGCACUUCUAAGACGGUCUCCCUCUGGCCAGUGUCAUAAGGUGGACACUAUAAUCCUGAGGCCUCCAGGAGGCAUAGGGGCAGUAGUGUGCUGGAGCUGGGUUGUACUGGCUCGGGAGAGCCAAGGCAAUUUUCAGGGAUUUUGUUGCAAGCCAGUUGUUAAUAGGCAUUAUUAAAAAUUGAGUUUUUAAAUUUACAAUUAAAUUAUAUUAAAAACGAGGUUAAUAAAUAUUCAGAACUUAUCCUAAUUACUAAAUCUGGCCAUUAUCUAUGUUUUUGAGGUUAACAGUCUGUUGUAUCUGAUGGUGGAAACCUACGUAACAGUGUGCUCCCGCACUUCUCUUCCCAAGUCCAUGUUCAGGAGGAUAUAUUGGUAGCUUGAAAUCAGCUCCGUGGGACCGACCAUUUACUGCACAGAAAUCAGAGCAGACCCUGGGGCAGCCACAGUUACCAAGAUGCCCUUUCCUAAGCUCCGGGUAGAAGCCAGUAUGGCUCCUUGGUGAGGGCCCCCUGACCUGGCGGAAGGAAGUGUAGCCUUGGACCCUGCCUUCCUAGUAGCAGCUAGAAUGAAAAGCCCAGACCACUGCUGGGCGGCUGCUCCUCCAUUGCUAAGACGACCACGGCUACGGCACCUCCCCAGAAAUGCCUCCAGCAGAAAUGACAGCUUUGCUGAAGGCAGGGGGCCUACAGUCUGUGCUCAGAUGCCCUCACAACCCACCUUCUACACCAGGACCUAAACCAACCGAAGGCCAGCCUUCCAGAAGGUAUCAGGGGAUGCUGAACGGCCCUACCACUGCUCAGACUAGGAGGUAGGACGGGAGGGGAAAAUCUUUAAGCACCUGAGGAGUGAGUAAAAUCUCAAGACAGCCUAGGGUGGAUCCUGCCCCUUCAGUGCAGGGGCAGAAAGAACACCCAGCUUGCCGAGGGUGCACCUCAGCCUUCCUCAGAUGUGCGUGUGCACUGGCAGUGGGAUCAUACACUACUCAGCACUAGGGGCUGCGCUGCUGAGAAAGGAUGUCCUAAAGGCAGUGCCACUGUCCCCCCUGCCCUGCAGGCCAUGAGCAACAGGUAAAUAGGCUGAGGGGGGAUAAUGAGGGGAUGAAGGGUGGCCUGAAAUAGUAGAGGUGAUCCAGGUGUGUAGUUUUCAUUGGAGUCUGAAGGUUCAGAGCAGGAGAGGUGAGGAAUACGUUCCACUUUCCCUUUCUGCCAGCACUGGCACAGCCUUGGCCUGCGCUCUGCAGCAGCAGCUGCCUUGUCUGCUAAGCUUAGACCUUCCCCAGGCCUCCUGGACCUCUGUGCCUACCCUGCUCCUCGUGCGGCUUCAGCUUUGUCUCCCAAGUCUCUGUCCCUCUCCUUGCUUCAGUGUCCCAAGAUAUUUUUAAGGUAGAACAGUCUGGGAGCUGGCCACUCCCAACCAGUUCUCCACCCCCACCCCACGUGUCUACUGCCUGCCACCCGAAUGAUCAGUCAGCCCGCCAUCACUGUCAGGACACAUCCAAAGGUGGGUGGUGGGCCCCAGACUCCCUCACAGGCCAGCUAAUACUUUAGCCCUGUCGACCCCAAUCAAUCAGUCCUAUAAAUAGUAGACCUGAUAAUAAUUAUUUUUGUUAUUUAUGGAAAAAAAUAUACUAAGUACAUCUGGACAUUUACCAGUCUAAUAAGUAGAACUCUACUGCCGCCACCUCCUGGGGCCCUAUCCUUGGGCUAAACCCACUCAGGCCACUGAGACAGGGUUGGUUGUAUAUAGUGGCACAACUGAAUGUCUUAGAUGCUAGAAAUGCAAAUGAAAUUGUCUUGGGUUAUACGGCCAGUCACUUUUUUCCUAAAAAAAAAGGAUGGUUAGCUCAAAAAAGGGAGGUGGUAAGUGAAGUCACAUAGUGAAUUAAAGGUAGGUCCUGGCCCAGUGCUUGCUGCACAUCCAGGUUAGGCUCAUUUCAAAUCAGCAGCCCUGGCUGCAAGUGACCUGAAUGCGGCUGCGCGUGGAGGGGUGAAAGGCCUCUCCUCUCUUUCAUCCUGUUCUCCCUGAAAUCCCAGGUCUGUGUAGUUGGGCAAGAUCAAGCCCUCACCCUGCUCCAGAGUGUGUCCCAAAGAGAGUCAGGGCCCGUUACCUCAGAACAGACCUGGUCCGGCAGCCACUCAGCAGUCUCCAGGCAGGCGAGCGGGAGUGUAAGCACCCACAAGGCACCUCCUGGGGGCAGUGCGGGGGUGGGGAGCCAGACUGACUCCUUCAAGAAAUCUACUUCAGACUUUCCUUGGGCAUCCUACCCCCUGGUUGCUUUAUAUCCCGCCUUCCCUGUGCCCCAGUCUUCUCAGGUGCAGAAUGGAGGGGGGAAGUAGUGCUUAAGAGUCUAUGUUUUGUGAGAAAAACUUAAGACAGUGUAAAGUGUUUGGCCCAGGGCCUGGCACGGAGUGAAGGAGGUUCCAUCAAUAGGAACCACAAUGUGAUGACAUCCUACAGAAAAAAAUAUCACCCAAAAUCUUAUUCCAGGUCUUUGUGCAGGGAGGGCCUUCUCCAGUCAAUCCAUAUGCAGACUGGUAUUCAGAUGGGUAGCCGCAAACCAUCACAUGAAGAAAGUGGAGAGACUAGCACAGCAGAGCUGCUCAGAGAGAAAAGGGGGAGACAACCCAAGGGAGAGGCAAGGAGCUGUGUGUGAGUGUGGGGGGUUAGGAAGGCCGAACACAACCAACUUCAGCUGUUUCUUAGGUAACAGGAGUAAGGAAACCCUCAUACCUGGGAGCAUUCGCCUGGAUGUGAUGAGCCUAUGGCUAUCAUUAAGAUAGUGUGGACACCAAGGUCCGCAGAACAACACGAGGUACAGGCCUGAGUGUGUUCCCUACGUCCGUACGACGCGGCCACAGCAAGCCCCGGCAGAAAUGCCAUGAGGGCCAGACAGCUUGAGGGUGGGGUGCUCCCUCCAGAUGAGUUCAAUAAAAUGAGAAACUU